AAGUGGAAGGGUAUGGGUCGGUGUUGGAAGGUGUGCACGGAGCCCGACAUGCUGACUGCCGGCGUGCCCUCUGACCGGCCUCUCAAUGCAGUGACAGGAUGAGGGGACACCCGGUUAUGGGUUAAACCAAGCACUUGCACAGCUUUGGCCAUAGCUUGGCUCACAACGUGUCUGCCAUGAGCUGCUAGGUGGCUUCCAGCCCCUGGUCACACAGGUUACUUUUGGAAUAUACAGACUUGCUGUGGAAACGCUCAAUCCGAUAGUGUCACAAACUGCAACAUGCCUUGUCAACAUCAAAGGUGACCCUGACGUCUCAUUGACAGUGAACAGGUAUUACGAUUGCAUAUUAUCUAAAUUAACAUUGCGUUGUCCCUAUGAUGUCAGCACUGGGCUCUGAAACUGCUGAGCGAUAACUGUGCCCCACUGUCUUGACAUGCAGUGGGACUGAGGGACCAUAAUCUACAGUGUGGCAAGCAGUCUUUAAUAUAAAGUGAACUGUUCGUAUACUAAGCUAGCUUUUAAAGAUCUAAAUCAUGGUAUGUCUCACUCACUUAAGCAUCAGGGCUGUAUUAAAAGAACUUCAUGGAGUGACAGCAUAAAAUAUCACUAGUCCUCAAAGGAACGCUAUAGAUAAAAGGUCUGGAAGGGUGAGACUUAUUCUUCCAAUACUUUCCCUUAGGAACAGGGACAAUGUGGAAAUCUGAAAUUUUUACAUCCGUGGAACCUCUAGGGGCUUUUAAUCAGGGGUAGGUAACCUUUGGUUAUCAGAUGUGAACUACAUAUCCCCUGAUACUUUGCCAGCAUUAUGGGAGCUGUAGUAAACAUAUGGAGUUCCUAAAGAUGCCUGCCUCUGCUUUAAGGGGUUAUCAUUGUGACUGCUUGUGAAAUGGCUGUAAACAUGUUAGGCGGAUAUUUUGCUCAAGCUUUGAGCUGUCAACCUUCUUAUUCUGACAAAUAUUUCUUUGUUUCAGGAUAUACUGGACUGACGAAAAAUGCUGGAAUAAAGCAACUUUAUUGUGUUACAAACAUGGUUUAAAGCUUAGGAACAACUGUGUAAGGUUGUUUGAAACCUUCCUUGCCUCGAUCGAGAGAUUACUCUUAAUACUCCACUAAAAUUCUACUUUAGAUGUGAAGUAACUGUAGAAUUCAGCAUUGAACUAAUGCAGCACACUUGGCACUCUAACCACUAAUUUGGCGUGCAGCAGAUUUUAAAAUGCCUCACAUGUGAAAACUACCUGUUAAUAAAGUG
Long non-coding RNA from Pelobates fuscus (common spadefoot toad), 1249 nucleotides. RefSeq lists it as uncharacterized. The record is from RefSeq and is a predicted model, not a curated record. The transcript is spliced from 3 exons. Lineage: Eukaryota; Metazoa; Chordata; Amphibia; Anura; Pelobatidae.